AGUGAACGCUGGCGGUAGGCCUAACACAUGCAAGUCGAACGGCAGCACCGUAAGAGCUUGCUCUUACGGGUGGCGAGUGGCGGACGGGUGAGGAAUACAUCGGAAUCUACUUUUUCGUGGGGGAUAACGUAGGGAAACUUACGCUAAUACCGCAUACGACCUACGGGUGAAAGCAGGGGAUCUUCGGACCUUGCGCGAUUGAAUGAGCCGAUGUCGGAUUAGCUAGUUGGCGGGGUAAAGGCCCACCAAGGCGACGAUCCGUGGCUGGUCUGAGAGGAUGAUCAGCCACACUGGAACUGAGACACGGUCCAGACUCCUACGGGAGGCAGCAGUGGGGAAUAUUGGACAAUGGGCGCAAGCCUGAUCCAGCCAUACCGCGUGGGUGAAGAAGGCCUUCGGGUUGUAAAGCCCUUUUGUUGGGAAAGAAAAGCAGCAGGUUAAUACCCCGCUGUUCUGACGGUACCCAAAGAAUAAGCACCGGCUAACUUCGUG
Molecule: ribosomal RNA, 492 nt
Filed under: uncultured bacterium
Lineage: Bacteria
Description: partial 16S ribosomal RNA
Rfam family: Bacterial small subunit ribosomal RNA
Source: RNAcentral